UACGUAGGUGGCAAGCGUUGUUCGGAAUUAUUGGGCGUAAAGGGCGCGUAGGCGGUUUGUUAAGUCAGUUGUGAAAGCCCCGGGCUCAACCUGGGAAUGGCAGUGGAAACUAGGGGACUUGAAUCUGGCAGAGGGGGGUGGAAUUCCACGUGUAGCAGUGAAAUGCGUAGAGAUGUGGAGGAACACCGAUGGCGAAGGCAGCCCCCUGGGCUGAGAUUGACGCUCAGGCACGAAAGCGUGGGGAGCAAACAGG
This 253-nucleotide ribosomal RNA is filed under the name uncultured bacterium. RNAcentral's name for it is "partial 16S ribosomal RNA". It matches the Rfam family "Bacterial small subunit ribosomal RNA", at positions 524 to 776 of the family's 1533-position model. The record is from RNAcentral.